AUGUAAUAUUAACAGAAGUUCGACGACAGCCCCAUCCGAUUUCAUAUAAUAUAACAGCUGUAUAACACUACGCAUUGGCCGGCCCUGCAUCUUAAUUAU
Aricia agestis (brown argus) is the source of this 99-nucleotide long non-coding RNA. RefSeq lists it as uncharacterized. The record is from RefSeq and is a predicted model, not a curated record. The transcript has 3 exons. NCBI's taxonomy places the organism in Eukaryota, Metazoa, Arthropoda, Insecta, Lepidoptera, Lycaenidae.